RNAcentral lists this ribosomal RNA (253 nucleotides) under uncultured bacterium. RNAcentral describes it as "partial 16S ribosomal RNA". It matches the Rfam family "Bacterial small subunit ribosomal RNA", at positions 524 to 776 of the family's 1533-position model. The record is from RNAcentral.
UACGGAGGGUGCAAGCGUUGUCCGGAAUCACUGGGCGUAAAGGGCGCGUAGGCGGCUCAUGAAGGCUGUGGUGAAAGUCCGGGGUUCAACCUCGGAUCGGCCGUGGCGACUCGUGGGCUGGAGCACUGUAGAGGCGGGUGGAAUUCCGGGUGUAGCGGUGGAAUGCGUAGAGAUCCGGAAGAACACCAGUGGCGAAGGCGGCCCGCUGGGCAGUGGCUGACGCUGAGGCGCGACAGCGUGGGGAGCAAACAGG